RNAcentral lists this ribosomal RNA (253 nucleotides) under uncultured bacterium. Its description in RNAcentral is "partial 16S ribosomal RNA". It matches the Rfam family "Bacterial small subunit ribosomal RNA", at positions 524 to 776 of the family's 1533-position model. The record is from RNAcentral.
UACGAAGGGGGCUAGCGUUGCUCGGAAUCACUGGGCGUAAAGCGCACGUAGGCGGAUCUUUAAGUCAGGGGUGAAAUCCUGGAGCUCAACUCCAGAACUGCCUUUGAUACUGGGGAUCUCGAGUCCGGAAGAGGUGAGUGGAACUCCGAGUGUAGAGGUGAAAUUCGUAGAUAUUCGGAAGAACACCAGUGGCGAAGGCGGCUCACUGGUCCGGUACUGACGCUGAGGCGCGAAAGCUAGGGGAGCAAACAGG